This is a long non-coding RNA of Brienomyrus brachyistius, 576 nucleotides long. RefSeq lists it as uncharacterized. Lineage: Eukaryota; Metazoa; Chordata; Actinopteri; Osteoglossiformes; Mormyridae. The record is from RefSeq and is a predicted model, not a curated record. The transcript has 3 exons.
AUUCUCCUGUAAAGAGAAGGGGAAAAUAAAAAAUAAAUAAAAUGGAAAAGUGAAGAGAGAGGCGAGUACAGAUUCCGAAUAAACGCCACAAGGACAAAUGUACAAUUCGGCAGCUUUUAGCGGGCCGACCAGAUGCCUGCUCUGAAACGUCUGGGAAUCCAAAUCCCCACCAGGACAAGGGGUUAAAGCUUUUAAGUAAAUGCGUUAAUGUUCAAUUUUUUGGAAAUGAUAGCGAGGGUGGUGGUGGGGGAGAAUGUAUGCACCCCAUCCGCAAAACCGGCGCAAUUUCUACGCACCAAUUACCGCCCGUCCUGCCUCAGCUACCGCCUGGGACUCCUGGCUGUUUUUCGGCAAGGUUCCAGAGGAGCACGGCGACCGCACCAGCGUGGCCUGAUUACACCCCGGCCAAGGGAACGUCUGGGCCCACGGGUUUGCAGUCUGUUCCACCAGACAUAACCAGUCUCGGAAAUAACAGAGGAGAAUAGCUCCGGACCACAGAAGGCAAUCUAUACAUCUUCCUGAGAGAAAGGAGCCACUUCCAGCAGGCCAAUCCAAUUGGCCAUUCACCAGCCACCC